UGAGUCGGCCGGGUGGUCGCGGAGAAAUCCGAGGAAAGUCCGGACUCCACAGAGCACGGUGGUGGGCAACACCCACCUGGGGCGACCCACGGGCCAGUGCCACAGAAAACAAACCGCCUGACCAGCGCGAGCCGGUCAGGCAAGGGUGAAAAGGCAGUGUAAGAGACUACCGCGUCACGUGUGAGCGGGACGGCACGGUAAACCCCACCGGGAGCAAGGUCAAGAAGACCGUCAGGUCGCGUCGACGCUCAAGGGCUGCUCGCCCGAUGUCGACGGGUAGACCGCAUGAGCCUGGCGGUCGGACUGGGCCGGCGGAGUUCCGUCGGUCGAAUCCGACACCAGCUCGAAGGUUCGUGGAGACACGAAUCGCAGAUGGAUGGCCACCGCCCGCGAGGGCACAGAAUCCGGCUUACAGGCCGACUCAUCCC
This 428-nucleotide RNase P RNA is filed under the name Propionibacteriaceae bacterium. RNAcentral's name for it is "RNase P RNA component class A". It matches the Rfam family "Bacterial RNase P class A". From Rfam's summary of the family: Ribonuclease P (RNase P) is a ubiquitous endoribonuclease, found in archaea, bacteria and eukarya as well as chloroplasts and mitochondria. Its best characterised activity is the generation of mature 5'-ends of tRNAs by cleaving the 5'-leader elements of precursor-tRNAs. The record is from RNAcentral. Lineage: Bacteria; Bacillati; Actinomycetota; Actinomycetes; Propionibacteriales; Propionibacteriaceae.